This 51-nucleotide ribosomal RNA is filed under the name uncultured bacterium. RNAcentral's name for it is "partial 16S ribosomal RNA". The record is from RNAcentral.
ACACACCGAAGUCCGAUUCGUCGGCCUAAGGUGGGGGGGAUGAUUGGGGUU